UACGAAGGGUGCAAGCGUUGUUCGGAUUUAUUGGGCGUAAAGCGCAUGUAGGCGGGCGAUCAAGUCAAGUGUGAAAUCUCGAAGCUCAACUUCGGAACUGCGCCUGAAACUGGUUGUCUAGAAUUUUGGAGAGGAAAGGGGAAUUUCUCAUGUAGGGGUAAAAUCCGUAGAGAUGAGAAGGAACAUCAGAGGCGAAGGCGCCUUUCUGGACAAAAAUUGACGCUGAGGUGCGAAAGCGUGGGGAGCAAACAGG
Molecule: ribosomal RNA, 253 nt
Filed under: uncultured bacterium
Lineage: Bacteria
Description: partial 16S ribosomal RNA
Rfam family: Bacterial small subunit ribosomal RNA
Source: RNAcentral